Molecule: ribosomal RNA, 459 nt
Filed under: uncultured bacterium
Lineage: Bacteria
Description: partial 16S ribosomal RNA
Rfam family: Bacterial small subunit ribosomal RNA
Source: RNAcentral
CCUACGGGUGGCAGCAGUGAGGAAUAUUGGUCAAUGGCCGUAAGGCUGAACCAGCCAAGUAGCGUGAGGGAAGACUGCCCUAUGGGUUGUAAACCUCUUUUAUGCGGGGACAAAGGCGUCCACGUGUGGAUGUUUGCAGGUACCGCAUGAAAAAGCAUCGGCUAACUCCGUGCCAGCAGCCGCGGUAAUACGGAGGAUGCGAGCGUUAUCCGGAUUUAUUGGGUUUAAAGGGUGCGUAGGCGGACGCUUAAGUCAGCGGUAAAAUUGCGGGGCUCAACCUCGUCGAGCCGUUGAAACUGGGUGCCUUGAGUGGGCGAGAAGUACGCGGAAUGCGUGGUGUAGCGGUGAAAUGCAUAGAUAUCACGCAGAACUCCGAUUGCGAAGGCAGCGUACCGGCGCCCAACUGACGCUGAGGCACGAAGGCGUGGGUAUCGAACAGGAUUAGAUACCCUUGUAGUC